GAUGAACGCUGGCGGCGUGCCUAAUACAUGCAAGUCGAGCGAACAGACGAGGAGCUUGCUCCUCUGACGUUAGCGGCGGACGGGUGAGUAACACGUGGAUAACCUACCUAUAAGACUGGGAUAACUUCGGGAAACCGGAGCUAAUACCGGAUAACAUGUUGAACCGCAUGGUUCAACAGUGAAAGACGGUUUUGCUGUCACUUAUAGAUGGAUCCGCGCCGCAUUAGCUAGUUGGUAAGGUAACGGCUUACCAAGGCAACGAUGCGUAGCCGACCUGAGAGGGUGAUCGGCCACACUGGAACUGAGACACGGUCCAGACUCCUACGGGAGGCAGCAGUAGGGAAUCUUCCGCAAUGGGCGAGAGCCUGACGGAGCAACGCCGCGUGAGUGAAGAAGGUCUUCGGAUCGUAAAACUCUGUUAUGAGGGAAGAACAAAUGUGUAAGUAACUAUGCACGUCUUGACGGUACCUAAUCAGAAAGCCACGGCUAACUACGUG
Molecule: ribosomal RNA, 497 nt
Filed under: uncultured bacterium
Lineage: Bacteria
Description: partial 16S ribosomal RNA
Rfam family: Bacterial small subunit ribosomal RNA
Source: RNAcentral